CUAGCGGGCGCGGGGCCUGCUGGCUGCGGCGGCCAUAUUGUGGGCGGCCAUGCGGCUUCGGGGAGGCCGCCGGGAGCAGGAUGUGGGGUGACUGGGGUGCGAUGUAACGUCCUGUGGUGCACCCCUGGUCUCCAGAGAGGGGGACCCUCCGCCCUCCACCCCAGGCCACCUUCUGUGCUGAGACAAAUCGCCUUCCCAAGUACCAUAUCGCUUCAUCAGCACAGCAGCCUCCGGCAGGGAGUGACGGCCCAUCUUUCGGAGAUGGAGGCUGAGGCUCCACAGGGCUGCAACCCACCCACCCCUUGAGAGGCCUGGAGGCUUGGGGCGGGGGAUCCCAACAGCCCUGGUCCCUUGUCUGGAAUCACAGAAGCUGGAACCCUGGGGAGAUUGUGCUCAGAUGCUCCAUUCAACAAUUUGUCCAUUUCACGCUGUCCCAGCAUUUAUCGUGACAUGAAACAGAGCAAAGUGACUGCUCAUGGAGCAUGCACACAGCACCAGCAGCGUGCCCUCAGAUGUAGCCUCAGGGCUGGGCUGGGGCCUUUGGGUCAUGGCGAGACCGGAAAAAUCAGUCGACUUGGUGAUGGAUGGGGCGUGACGGAGGCCCCCAGGUUUGCCCUCCAGAAACCACAGUCCAGGAGGAGAGACAAAUCAGUAAAGAAUCAGCGUGCUGGAGACAGGCGGCCUGGGGUCUCAUCUAGGCUGGAAGGUUGGGGAAGGAAGGCUUCCUGGAGAAGGUGACUGUGCCCGGAGCCUCAGCAGAUGAAUAUAAGUUCACCAGGCAAAGAAAUGAAGGGAGAAGGCGGGAAAGGAGCUGGCAUUGGGGGUGAAUCUGGGAAGAAGGUGAGCGGUGUGUGCUGGGGUAGGGAGGCCCCACCAGGCCGGUGCACUGGAUUAGGGUGGGGCAGGAACAGUGGGAGAACUAGGCACGGGGGAGGGGCAGUGUGGGCUGUAGAGGGCAGGGAGGAAGGGCUCCUGAAGACCCAGGGUGCCCUGAUAAGGUACAAGGACUGCAUCCUGAGGGCAGAGGAAUGGUCACUGAAGGAUUUUAAAGGGGUCCGAUUUGUGUUCUAGGAAGAUCUUAUGGGCUGGGUUUAUUACAGUUUUCCCAGCACCCAGCUCAGUAACGGGCUUCCCAGGUGGCGCUAGUGGUAAAGAACACAUCUGCCAAUGCAGGAGACGUAAGAGACAUGGAUUCGAUCCCUGGGUUGGGAAGAUCCCCUGGAGGAGGGUAUGGCAAUCCACUCCAGUAUUCUUGUCUGGAGAGUCCCAUGGACAGAGGAGCCUGGACAGAGGAGUCGGACAUGACUAAAGUGACUUAGCAAGGACUCAGCUCAGUAACUGGUCCACAGUAGGGUCUCGAUAAAUGUUUUCCAUCAAUACAUGAUUACAACUGGAGGCAGUGGUUGACUCCAGCUGCGGGACCUUGGGCCUCAGUUUUCUUAUUUGUAAAAUAAGGGUAACAGCAUCUGCCUCCUGGAAAUGUCGUGAUGGUUAAAGAAAGCAGGGCAUGCGAGGGCUCCCUCGGUGUCCUGCACAUGGUCAGCCUGUCAUGACCGGCACUGGAGGUGCUGUGGACAAGGUGGAGGUGGGGACUGGGCUCAGGAGUAGUGGAGUCACCUAAGGGAGAGAGUAAUAUUAAUAGCAACAAUAAUGCUUAUCAAGAACUUAAGCUGUUCAUAUAUUUUAUUCAUAUAGUCCUCAAGACAAGCGAAUGGCGAAGGCAUUCUUUUAUAGGACAUUUUAUUUUAUCAUCUACCGAGGGACAGCAGGGCCUGGUGUGCUGCAGUCUACAGGGUUGCAAAGAGUCGGUGACUGAACAACAAUUUUAUUGUCCAGGAAUCUGAGGCUCAGACAGGUGAGGUGACUUGCCUGAGGCUCCUUGGCCGGUGAGUGGUGGACAGAACUGCAUUGGAGACCAAAGCCCAGCAGUGGACAUCAGAACCCAGCUUGUGACCACUAAACUGGUGAUGGAGGCAGGUCGGGGUGACCAGCAGGGGAGGGAGAGUGGGGAGGACACAGUCAGACUGAUGGACCAGGUGGCAGGGGUGGGGGAGCAGGCAUGGGGGAAAGGUGCCCCUCGUGUCUGGUCUGGAUGACCAGGUGGACGGUCAUUCCAUUUCCUGAGUGAGGGGCACGGCGUGGGAAGGACAGGCAGGCUUGGGGAGGAAGGGAACUCUCAGUCUGAAAGGCUGUCGGGAUGUCUGGAUGGGGAUGCCAGGGAGGUCUGGCGUCCAGGCUGGGGGUCUGGAUGAGGGGAAAUGAGCUCACAGGGCAAGUGGAAGGCAUGUGGACGGGCGGAGGAGCCCAGGCCCUGGAGAUGAUGUCGACAGCAGACUUUAUACAGCGUCUACUCUGCACCAGACAUGAUCCCAAGUCCAGGUGUUAUUUAAAUUUUCUGACCAAACCCUGUGAGGAGGAACCAUCACCACCCCUGUUUUAUAGAGGGGGAAACAGGCAAGAGCUCAGUCUAGAAUGUCCAGAGCAGGUACAUCUGCAGAGACAGAAAGUAGACUAUGGUUGCCUCGGGCUAGGGAAUUGAAAAAUGGUGGCUGAAGGGUACAGGGUUUCUUUCUGGGGGUGAUGAAAAUGUUCUGAAAUGAUAGUGCUGCUGAUGGUUGUACAACUGUAUAAAUGCACUAAAAAACAUUGAAUCGUGUACUUUAAAUACGUGAAUUGUACAGUACAUGAAUUACACGUCAAUAACGCGGGCUUCCUUGGUGGCUCAGUCUGUAGAGAAUCCGCCUGCAAUGCAGGAGACCUGGGUGCGAUCCCUGGGUUGGGGAGAUCCCCUGGAGAAGGAAAUGGCAACCGAUUCCAGUAUGCUUGCCUGGGAAAUCCCAUGGACAGAGGUGCCUGGAGGGCUACAGUCCACGGGGUCGCGAGAGUUGGACACGACUGAGCAACUAAACCACCACCAAAGCUGAGAGAACCAGCUGUGUAGCACAGAGAGCUCAGCUUGGUGUGGGAGGGAGAAGGUGUAUGUACACAUAGAGCUGUUUCACUUUGUUAUGCAGCAGAAACUCACAUAACACUGCAAAGCAAUUAUACUCCAAAAGGAGAAUCCGGUGACACAAAAAGCUGAGAGAGAAAAAUACAGUGAGCAGUAGGAGGAGGCAGGGCUUGGAGGGGCAGGGGAGCUUUGGGAGCUGGAAGGAGGACAGGGGGGCAGGGAAGCCCGGGCGUGGGGCAGAGGCAGUUUGGGUGAGAAGUUUGGGCGAGAAGCUGGAGAAGGAUGCCGUCUGCAGCGCUCAUUUACUCCCAGCUGGUCUGGGGCUGACACCUGCACAUUCUUUGGCGUUAGUCAGUCCAGGUUCCCUGGUGACCUGGUCCACACUGGCGGGGAACCCAGCCCUGUGGGUGAUCGGGCCCUCUUGGGAGAGGAGAUCUCGGAGGAGCAAGGCGUCCUUUUAGACCUGGACAUCCAGGCCCCUGGAUGGAGAUUUCUCCACCUCAGGAAGCAGCUGACCUUCCACCAGCAGUUUUUGGAGGCUCGCUGCCCUUGACUUUGGGGGUAGAGGUUGGGGAGGGCUGAGGGUGGGAAUAUGCCUCAGUUGGGUCUUCCUGGAGGACUGAGAGCCCCAGUCAACAGCUCACUUGGAAGCCUCACACCUCAGCCUUUCCCUUAAGAGGGCUCCGGUGUCUGCUGGGAGACCAGCAGGCCGAGAGGCUGUGAAGUGAAGGCUGGGGUGCCACGGUGCCUCUACCCCUCGACACCGAUGGCGGUCACCAGCAGGAAGACACCCAGGCCUCCCGACUGAGAAGGGGUGAUCCAAACUGCCCCGGUGCCCAGGGCUGUAACUGGCCCGUGGUCCCAGCCACGGGUGGAGAUGCGUGGAGAGGCUCCAGGGGUACCCUGGGUGUGAGCGGGGCAUGGGGUAUCUGAAGAGUGGGCGAGGCGGUGGCUGUGGGCAGGCCAUCAUGCCUCUUCUGUGCAGGGGUCCAUUCAGUACUGCUGCCCCCCACCCCCUACUCUAGACCUCAGGCCUUGUAUUUCUGAUGCAGAAGGCCGGCAGGGAGACCGGGCCAGCCCUGCGUUCAGGACCUCCGUGGGGCCUGGCUCCCCUGAGGGAGGCGGAGCAUCUGUCAUUGUCUCAGGAGACUGAGGCUCGGAGGGGCCUUGCUGGAGUCCUCCCACCCCCAUCAGGCACUUCUCCUUGGGGAGCCCCUCACGAGCCCACUCUGUGUCUAUUUCUUCUCCUUUUUGAAGUGACUGUGAUACCUUAGAGCUUUGAUUUCCUAGAUCAGAGCAGAAUAAGAGAAGAUCAUUAGAAACGUGCAGGGGCAGGAAUUCCCUAGUGGCCCAGUGACUAAGACUCUGUGCUUUCAAUGCAGGGGGUCCAGGUUCGAUCCCUGGUCAAGGAAGCAGAUGCUAUAUGCUACAACUAAAGAUCCCGCGUGCUGCAAUGAAGAUCAAAGGUCUUGUGUGUGGCAACUAAGACUCAGUGCAGUCACAUAAUAAAUAUUUAAAAAGAAGAAAUAUACAGGGAGAAAGAGAAAUGGUUGCAAAAAUCUAAACAUUUGCUAAGAGGGUCUGUGGUAAAGACUAUGGACUUCCCUCAUAGCUCAGUUGGUAAAGAAUCUGCGGGGAGUGCAGGAGACCCGUGUUCGAUUCCUGGAUCAGGAAGAUCCCCUGGAGAAGGAAAUGGCAACCCACUCCAGUAUUCUUGCCUGGAGAAUGCCAUGGACAGAGGAGCCUGGCAGGCUACAGUCCAUGGGGUUACAUGAGUCGGACACGAUUUAGUGACUAAACCACCACCACCGUCUGUGGUAAAGAACCCACCUGCCAAUGCAGGAGAUGCAAGAGACAUGGGUUCAAUCCCUGGGUUGGGAAGAUCCCCUGGAGGAGGGCAUGGCAACCCACCCCAAUAUUCUUGCCUGGAGAAUCCCAUGGAUGGAGGAGCCUAGCUGGUCACAGUAUAUAGAGUCGAAGAAAGUCAGACACGACUGACCACGCACACACCAAGAGAGGACCCCGAGCCACCAGGCAACCACAGGCCACCUGUGGGCACUGCCAGGUGGCUGACCCCAGGACCCGCUGAAUGCCUGUCACUGCUGAAUGCCUUGGGACAUUCAGUGCAGGAGACCCAUGUUCAAUUCCUGGGUUGGGAAGAGGGGGAGGCUGCAUUUGUAGGACAUUUUGUUAAAGCAAACUGGGUAUAAAUAAGGAUUUAUGCCCACGGAUGUCUGUCGCAACUGGCCACCACCUCAGUGUUCAGCAGUAUUGGGGCUUGUUGAAAUGAAUUAUAGCACUUCCUAUGACAGAAUAUGAUGCAGCCAGUAAAUAUGACACUUAGCAAAAAAUUGUAAUUACAUAGGAAACGCUUUUGGUGUAACAUAAAAUCAGGAUAUAAAACGAUAUGUGCAUGUAUGUUAUGUCAAUAAAAAGGAAAAAGAAAAAACUAAAUGCUGUGAGCUCAACUUCAUUUAAAGACAUAUAAGGAAAAAGUGGAAAGAAAACGCCCCCAAAUUCUAACCUUAUUUAUAUCUGGCUGGUGAUUUUUAAAUUUUUAGUACUUGUUCUUUAUUGUAUUUCCAAAUUUCUACACUAAAUACUUUCAAGUUUUAAAGUUAUUUGAAAUAAAAGUGAAAACUGUAUCCUGUAUUUAA
Bos taurus (domestic cattle) is the source of this 5607-nucleotide long non-coding RNA. The record is from Ensembl. Lineage: Eukaryota; Metazoa; Chordata; Mammalia; Artiodactyla; Bovidae.